Molecule: ribosomal RNA, 267 nt
Filed under: uncultured bacterium
Lineage: Bacteria
Description: partial 16S ribosomal RNA
Rfam family: Bacterial small subunit ribosomal RNA
Source: RNAcentral
GUCCUAGCCGUAAACGGUGCGUGCUUGCUGUAAAAGGAAUCGACCCCUUUUGUGGCGGAGCCAACGCGUUAAGCACGCCGCCUGGGAAGUACGGUCGCAAGAUUAAAACUCAAAGAAAUUGACGGGGGCCUGCACAAGCGGUGGAGUAUGUGGCUCAAUUCGAUGCAACGCGAAGAACCUUACCUGGCCUUGACAUGCAUAUAGUAGAAGGGUGAAAGCCUGACGAGGUAGCAAUACCAGUAUGCACAGGUGCUGCAUGGCUGUCGU